RNAcentral lists this ribosomal RNA (253 nucleotides) under uncultured bacterium. RNAcentral's name for it is "partial 16S ribosomal RNA". It matches the Rfam family "Bacterial small subunit ribosomal RNA", at positions 524 to 776 of the family's 1533-position model. The record is from RNAcentral.
UACGUAGGGGGCUAGCGUUGUCCGGAAUCAUUGGGCGUAAAGCGCGCGUAGGCGGCCCGGUAAGUCCGUUGUGAAAGUCAAAGGCUCAACCUUUGAAAGCCGAUGGAUACUGCCGGGCUGGAGUCCGGAAGAGGCGAGUGGAAUUCCUGGUGUAGCGGUGAAAUGCGUAGAUAUCUGGAGGAAUACCGGUGGCGAAGGCGGCAUCCUGGACCGACAUUGACGCUGAUGAGCGAAAGCUAGGGGAGCAAACGGG